AGCGAACGCUGGCGGCAGGCCUAACACAUGCAAGUCGAACGAACUCUUCGGAGUUAGUGGCGGACGGGUGAGUAACACGUGGGAACGUGCCUUUUGGUUCGGAAUAACUCAGGGAAACUUGUGCUAAUACCGAAUGUGCCCUUCGGGGGAAAGAUUUAUCGCCAUUAGAGCGGCCCGCGUCUGAUUAGCUAGUUGGUGAGGUAACGGCUCACCAAGGCGACGAUCAGUAGCUGGUCUGAGAGGAUGACCAGCCACACUGGGACUGAGACACGGCCCAGACUCCUACGGGAGGCAGCAGUGGGGAAUCUUGCACAAUGGGCGAAAGCCUGACGCAGCCAUGCCGCGUGAAUGAUGAAGGUCUUAGGAUUGUAAAAUUCUUUCACCGGGGACGAUAAUGACGGUACCCGGAGAAGAAGCCCCGGCUAACUUCGUG
RNAcentral lists this ribosomal RNA (433 nucleotides) under uncultured bacterium. RNAcentral's name for it is "partial 16S ribosomal RNA". It matches the Rfam family "Bacterial small subunit ribosomal RNA", at positions 29 to 507 of the family's 1533-position model. The record is from RNAcentral.